This 847-nucleotide ribosomal RNA is filed under the name uncultured bacterium. Its description in RNAcentral is "bacterial SSU rRNA". It matches the Rfam family "Bacterial small subunit ribosomal RNA", at positions 572 to 1416 of the family's 1533-position model. The record is from RNAcentral.
UAGGCGGAUUAUCAAGUCUCUUGUGAAAUCUAACGGCUUAACCGUUAAACUGCUUGGGAAACUGAUAAUCUAGAGUAAGGGAGAGGCAGAUGGAAUUCUUGGUGUAGGGGUAAAAUCCGUAGAUAUCAAGAAGAAUACCUAUUGCGAAGGCGAUCUGCUGGAACUUAACUGACGCUAAUGCGUGAAAGCGUGGGGAGCAAACAGGAUUAGAUACCCUGGUAGUCCACGCCCUAAACGAUGUAUACCGGUUGUUGCUGUGCUAGUCACGGCAGUAAUCCACCUAACGGAUUAAGUAUACCGCCUGGGGAGUACGGUCGCAAGAUUAAAACUCAAAGGAAUAGACGGGGACCCGCACAAGCGGUGGAGCAUGUGGUUUAAUUCGAAGAUACGCGAAGAACCUUACCCGGACUUGAUAUCUAACAAAUCAUCCAGAGAUGGAAGAGUGUCUGCUUGCAGAAAUGUUAAGACAGGUGCUGCACGGCUGUCGUCAGCUCGUGUCGUGAGAUGUUGGGUUAAGUCCCGCAACGAGCGCAACCCACGUCAUUAGUUGCUAACGGUUCGGCCGAGCACUCUAAUGAGACUGCCUUCGUAAGGAGGAGGAAGGUGUGGACGACGUCAAGUCAUCAUGGCCCUUAUGUCCGGGGCGACACACGUGCUACAAUGGCAUAUACAAUAAGACGCAAUAUCGCGAGAUGGAGCAAAUCUAAAAAAUAUGUCCCAGUUCGGAUUGGAGUCUGCAACUCGACUCCAUGAAGCCGGAAUCGCUAGUAAUCGUAGAUCAGCCAUGCUACGGUGAAUACGUUCCCGGGUCUUGUACUCACCGCCCGUCACACCAUGGGAGUUGAUU